UAGCUGAUACAUGUUAAGGGGCAUAUGUGG
Molecule: non-coding RNA, 30 nt
Filed under: Mus musculus (house mouse)
Lineage: Eukaryota; Metazoa; Chordata; Mammalia; Rodentia; Muridae
Source: RNAcentral